Molecule: unclassified non-coding RNA, 862 nt
Filed under: Leishmania donovani
Lineage: Eukaryota; Euglenozoa; Kinetoplastea; Trypanosomatida; Trypanosomatidae
Description: gene:unknown
Source: RNAcentral
CCGAUACGCGCAUUCCGCUCGUCGAUGUGCCUCUCAAACUGGAGCCGCAUUUCCCAUCUUUUUCACCGACACCACUACCCUUUCACGCACCCGUAUGCGGUCUCUUCUUUCAAGGACAAACUUUCUGUCUUCCUCCCCCGCCAACUCUACCGCUCACCCUUGCAGAGCACUGCUGGCGAAGUUCCCAUUCGGCUGCAUGCCCAUUCUAGGAUCUCUAUGGCGCACCCUCACACACCAACAAGUAGAGAGCGCGCGGUGGCAUUCCUUUAUUCUCCCUUGUGGAUUCUCUUCUGUUUUUUUUUGCCUCGCCCGCCUCCCCGCUGCUUCUCUGACUACAGAUGGCAGAUAGCACAAAAAUGAAAGAAAACAAUGUGCAUCCGUGACAGCGACGUGCCUACGUAAUCCUUUCUUUUUUGUUUUGGGGGAGCUCGCUUGCGGCACACAAUCCAGGCUCUACCAUGCCUUUCAGCUCCUACUUGCCCAGCGUUUGCCGUUCCGCACCCCUCCUCGUUACCCCUCCAGGAGAACAGUGGAAGCGACCAGGUGCACACGCUCACGAAAAGGAAAAAAAAAAGAACACAGAGACGCUCGCGCUUCGUGUGAGUGGCAUCGUGCAGAAUAGACGGAGAGGAAGGAAGCGAGGAAAAAGAAGGCAAACCACCUUGCUUCCCCACCACUCCUCUGACGACCAUUUCGAGGGGAGUUCGACGCGGUCACUCUCCCAACUCACACACAGAAAGAGCGGCCCAUGAGCUUUGAGGCGCCCUGUCCCCCGUCUUUUCUCCACCACCACCACCCGCCCCUCCCCUUCCCUUCACUUUGCUCUGUUUUGUUGUGGUUGCCAUUUUUUUUUGUUCACUAG